RNAcentral lists this small RNA (207 nucleotides) under Paenibacillus pini. Its description in RNAcentral is "c-di-AMP sequence". It matches the Rfam family "c-di-AMP riboswitch aptamer (ydaO/yuaA leader)". From Rfam's summary of the family: This family represents a conserved RNA structure found upstream of the ydaO and yuaA genes in Bacillus subtilis and related genes in other bacteria. The ydaO/yuaA element is thought to act as a genetic "off" switch for the ydaO and yuaA genes in its native state. The record is from RNAcentral. Lineage: Bacteria; Bacillati; Bacillota; Bacilli; Caryophanales; Paenibacillaceae. RNAcentral also lists the same sequence under 1 other name.
AUUUACUGAUCGCUGAAUUUUCACUAGGAACGUGAAAAUCGGGGGAACCAAUCGUGUGCAAAGCAUUGAACCGGUGUGAGAGUCGGGACGCUGCUAUUGCCACAGGGGUGAAUCUCAGACCGGGGCCAUAAAACCGCCGGCUGAGUAGAGCGACUCUCACCGCUCGAAUCCGUCAGCUAACCUCGUAAGCGUAGAUUGAGAGAGGAA